This 2678-nucleotide ribosomal RNA is filed under the name Selaginella moellendorffii. Its description in RNAcentral is "26S ribosomal RNA". It matches the Rfam family "Bacterial large subunit ribosomal RNA", at positions 524 to 2908 of the family's 2925-position model. Lineage: Eukaryota; Viridiplantae; Streptophyta; Lycopodiopsida; Selaginellales; Selaginellaceae. The record is from RNAcentral.
CCCUACGCAAGGGAGCGCCUGCGAACUGAAAUUCGAUGCUGAUCGAUCCGUCGGGACUGGCCGGACACCGCAGCCCUCGGAGGCCAUCCGUGCUGCGGAGGGAGGGGAACCGACCCACGGCGUACCUGUUGCAUCAUGGGUCAGCGAGUCGUGGGAAUGCAGCGGCUUAAGCUGGUAGGUGUAGGUUCGACCACGGUGUCGGGUCUCGUUGGUCCCCGCCCGACCCGAACCCGAUUGAUCUAGCCAUCCGCGGGUUAAAGGGGGGGCGUACAGCCCUCGUCGGAGGACCGCACCCCAGCAUGUGGCAGAAUGCGGGGAGGACGGGUGGCUCGGGGUGAAAGGCCAACCAAGAUCGGAGAUAGCUGGUUUUCCGCGAAAUCUAUUUUUGUAGAGCGUCUCGAGAAGUGGGCCGGGGGUAGAGAACCAGGUGGGGGCUGGCACCCCGCCCGACCGUGCCCACCUGGCAACACCGAAGACGGGCCCCGUGUGCUCUCCGUGCAGACAGAGUCUGGGUGCGAAGAUCCGGGCUCGAGAGGGGAAGAGCCCAUAUCGUCCGCUAAGGUCCCGAAGCGAUCACUGCGUGGGGGCACACGAGAGUGAAGGGCGGUAUCCGGCGAUGAACCCCAGGAGGUGGGCUUGGAAGCAGCCAUCCUGGAAGAGAACGCGUACUGGCUCACUGGGAGAGCGGAUCCGACCGAUCAUGAUCGGGGCGGAAGUGGCUCACCGACGCGACGAGACCCACAAUCGGCACCACUCCCCCCCACUCCGCCGGACGAAGGGGCAUGGCCCCACGAGUGUCAGUAGCGGAACGUUCUGUUUUCGAUGUGCCGCUCCCGGAUGGCCGGAGUGCCGGGAACACAGAAGUGAGAAUGCUGACAUGAGUAAGGAUCAAUGGAGAGUGUGACUCGCAUCGCCAGCAGUGGCCGGGUUUCCGCGUACAGUGGAUUCACGCGGGGUUAAGCGGCCCCCGAGACACGCCGAAAGGGCCGACGAUGGGGACCACACCCCAGACGCACAGAUGCCCACGCGAGAACGUCGUAUCGACUACUGACCGGGCGGAUGGCUCGAUGCUGGGCAUGGUGGGUUUGGGGAGCCGCCCGUGCCCCGAUCGGUACGGGAUCCGGGGGCAGAGCGGACACUGACAAGAGAUGCGGGGGUUCGGGAUCGGCGGGCAGGGGCGGCGAUCGUGGGUCCGCCCGGGGAGUGGCCAUGGCCGGGUUCGAGUGGGGGCGGGGUCGGAGGGCCAUGCAUGACCGUCCCCCGAUCGUGGGUCUGAUCCGCCUCUCCCCCGGCGCAUCCCAGCAGCCCACCCCGCGCCCUGGCAUGCCCCGAGCGGACCGGCCGGGGCGGGACGGAGGAAGCACGGGGAACGACCACACCCGCACCAACCGCUCUGGCCGUCCCCCCACCCGGAUCCGUAUCCGCCGUAACUGAACCCGACACAGGUGCACUGGUGAUUCGACACUGGGGCGCGGGAGAACCAUGCUGAAGGAACCCGGCAAAACGACCCCGUAACCUCGGGAGAAGGGGGUCUCACGGCCAUGGCCCGGAGAGGGGCACGGCAGCGGGGGUAGCGACUGUUUAAUAAAAACACAGGACUCUGCGAACUGCGCACACGACGUAUAGAGUCUGACACUUGCCCGGUGCUGGAAGGGGAAGAGGAGAGGCUAUCCGACGCGCCCCGACUCGACUUCCCGGUAAACGGCGGCAGUAACUCUAACUGUCCUAAGGUAGCGAAAUUCCUUGUCGCAUAAGUAGCGACCUGCACGAAUAGUGUAACGACUGCCCCGCUGUCUCCAGCAGGGACCCACUGAAAUUGACCUGUCCGUGAAGAGGCGGAUUGCCCUCGGCUAGACGGUAAGACCCCGUGCACCUUUACUAUAGCUUCGGACUGGCACCAUGGUUCGACUGCCGAGCAUAGGUGGGGUUGGGGGGCGAGUGCGGGGCGACCCGUGCCAUCCCUCCCCGCUCGUGAAAUACCACUCCAGCGUGACCCGUGUGCCUCACUCCCCGUGCGAUCGGGGCGGACCCUUCCUGGUUGGUAGUUUCUCUGGGGCGGAUACCCCCCAAAGAGUAGCGGGGGCGCGCACAAGGCGGGCUGGACCGAAUCCGGGCUGGGGUUGGUGCCGCGCACGGGUAUACGCCUGCCUGACUGUGAGACCGACCCGUCGAACAGAGACGAAAGUCGGCCCGAGUGAUCCGGGAGCCCGGUGUGGAAUGGCUCCCGCUCGACGGAUCACAGGUACGCCGGGGAUAACAGGCUGAUGAGUCCCCAGAGAUCAUAUCGACGGAUUCGCUUGGCACCUCGAUGUCGACUCAUCGCUACCUGGGGCUGGAGCUGGCCCCAAGGGUUCGGUUGUUCGCCGAUUCAUGCGGCACGUGAGUUGGGUUUAGAACGUCGUGAGACAGUUCGGUUUCUAUCUACCGCGGGAUCGGGUCGAGAACUGUCGUGGAGUUGCCCCCAAGUACGAGAGGACGGGGAGCAGGCAACCCCUGGUGUACCGGUUGUACGGCCGAGUGCAGCGCCGGGUGGCUACGUUGGUCCGGACCAACGGCUGAAGGCAUAUAAGCCGGAAGUCACUCUAAAGCCAUGUUCUCCGUGAUGCUGGGUGGGAGAGCACCACUUCGAUGGGCGAGAGGUGCCACACCGCACUGUGAUCGCCGACUCGUCCCAACUG